UGGGGAAUAUUGCACAAUGGGCGAAAGCCUGAUGCAGCAACGCCGCGUGAUGAUGAAGGUCUUCGGAUUGAAANCUCUGUCUUUUGGGACGAUAAUGACGGNACCAAAGGAGGAAGCCACGGCUAACUACGUGCCAGCAGCCGCGGUAAUACGUAGGUGGCGAGCGUUGUCCGGAUUUACUGGGCGUAAAGGGUGCGUAGGCGGAUGUUUAAGUGAGAUGUGAAAUACCCGGGCUUAACUUGGGUGCUGCAUUUCAAACUGGAUAUCUAGAGUGCAGGAGAGGAGAAUGGAAUUCCUAGUGUAGCGGUGAAAUGCGUAGAGAUUAGGAAGAACACCAGUGGCGAAGGCGAUUCUCUGGACUGUAACUGACGCUGAGGCACGAAAGCGUGGGUAGCAAACAGGAUUAGAUACCCUGGUAGUCCACGCCGUAAAACGAUGAGUACUAGGUGUAGGAGGUAUCGACCCCUUCUGUGCCGCAGUAAACACAUUAAGUACUCCGCCUGGGAAGUACGAUCGCAAGAUU
This 523-nucleotide ribosomal RNA is filed under the name uncultured bacterium. Its description in RNAcentral is "partial 16S ribosomal RNA". It matches the Rfam family "Bacterial small subunit ribosomal RNA", at positions 355 to 895 of the family's 1533-position model. The record is from RNAcentral.